GCCGUGUCGAUCACGAACUCGAUGCGGUCGGCACCCUCGUAGUUGACGCACCCCCGGCACACGGGCUCAGUGAAGUCCCAGAUCAUCGCCCACGGCAUGCGGGGCAGGUCGCACAGCAGCGGAUUGCAAUGCCAGAGAGAAAAAAGAAGUAACCAAAACCCGGGGCCAGCCUCACCAGACGGAAACGCCAGUCAAUGCAAAGAAAGCGCCUUUGAGAAAAGAAAAACGCGCGCACACACAAGAGGGCAGUGAAAGGAGAUCCUGAGCGCACUGCAAAUUAGUGAUUCAACCACUCUAAAAUUAGAAGCGGCGGUCAUGAAUGGGACUUUUUCUUUCCCCCCAACCCGUCCCACACAACCCCAAUAAAUAAAAGUGCCAACGUGUAGAUUCAUUGUU
Long non-coding RNA from Rhincodon typus (whale shark), 396 nucleotides. RefSeq lists it as uncharacterized. NCBI's taxonomy places the organism in Eukaryota, Metazoa, Chordata, Chondrichthyes, Orectolobiformes, Rhincodontidae. The record is from RefSeq and is a predicted model, not a curated record. The transcript has 2 exons.